RNAcentral lists this ribosomal RNA (253 nucleotides) under uncultured bacterium. RNAcentral's name for it is "partial 16S ribosomal RNA". It matches the Rfam family "Bacterial small subunit ribosomal RNA", at positions 524 to 776 of the family's 1533-position model. The record is from RNAcentral.
UACGUAGGGGGCGAGCGUUGUCCGGAGUUACUGGGCGUAAAGCGCACGAAGGCGGUUUCGUACGUCUGGAGUGACAGUUCCCGGCUCAACUGGGAAAGGUCUUCGGAAACGGCGAGACUUGAGGGCUUCAGAGGGACACGGAAUUCCGGGUGGAGUAGUGAAAUGCGUAGAGAUCCGGAGGAACACCAAUGGCGAAGGCAGUGUCCUGGGAAGCAUCUGACGCUCAGAUGCGAAAGCUAGGGGAGCGAACAGG